RNAcentral lists this ribosomal RNA (463 nucleotides) under uncultured Rhodospirillaceae bacterium. RNAcentral's name for it is "bacterial SSU rRNA". It matches the Rfam family "Bacterial small subunit ribosomal RNA", at positions 20 to 525 of the family's 1533-position model. The record is from RNAcentral. Lineage: Bacteria; Pseudomonadati; Pseudomonadota; Alphaproteobacteria; Rhodospirillales; Rhodospirillaceae.
UGGCUCAGAACGAACGCUGGCGGCAUGCCUAACACAUGCAAGUCGAACGAGAUCUUCGGAUCUAGUGGCGCACGGGUGAGUAACACGUGGGAACCUGCCCUUCGGUACGGAAUAACAUCGGGAAACUGAUGCUAAUACCGUAUAUGCCUUGCGGUGAAAGAUUUAUCGCCGGAGGAGGGGCCCGCGUCUGAUUAGGUAGUUGGUAGGGUAACGGCCUACCAAGCCGACGAUCAGUAGCUGGUCUGAGAGGAUGAUCAGCCACACUGGGACUGAGACACGGCCCAGACUCCUACGGGAGGCAGCAGUGGGGAAUAUUGGACAAUGGGGGCAACCCUGAUCCAGCAAUGCCGCGUGAGUGAUGAAGGCCUUCGGGGUUGUAAAGGCUCUUUUGGGCGGGGGACGAUGAUGACGGGUACCGCAGAAUAAGCCCCGGGCUAACUUCGUGCCAGCCGCCGCGGGUAAC